This is a non-coding RNA of Myotis lucifugus (little brown bat), 73 nucleotides long. The record is from Rfam. NCBI's taxonomy places the organism in Eukaryota, Metazoa, Chordata, Mammalia, Chiroptera, Vespertilionidae.
GCCGGUUUGGCUCAGUGGAUAGAGCGUCAGCCUGCUGACCCAAGGGUCUCGGGUUCAAUUCCUGUGAAGGGCA